CCCUAGAGGAGCCUGUUCCAUAAUCGAUAAACCCCGAUCUACCUCACCCUCUCUUGCUUAGCCUAUAUACCGCCAUCUUCAGCAAACCCUGAUAAAGGUUACAAAGUGAGCACAAACGCCCUGCCGCCGCAAAAACGUUAGGUCAAGGUGUAGCCCAUGAGAGGGUAAAAAUGGGCUACAUUUUCUACAUCAGAAAACCCCACGAAAACUCUUAUGAAACCUAAGAGUCCAAGGAGGAUUUAGCAGUAAAUUAAGAAUAGAGUGCUUAAUUGAACCAGGCCACAAAGCGCGUACACACCGCCCGUCACUCCCCUCAAAUAUAUUUAAGGAACAUCCUAACUAAGCGCCCUAAUAUUUAUAUAGAGGGGAUAAGUCGUAACAUGGUAAGUGUACUGGAAGGUGCACUUGGAC
RNAcentral lists this ribosomal RNA (411 nucleotides) under Macaca maura (moor macaque). Its description in RNAcentral is "partial 12S ribosomal RNA". It matches the Rfam family "Bacterial small subunit ribosomal RNA", at positions 925 to 1522 of the family's 1533-position model. Lineage: Eukaryota; Metazoa; Chordata; Mammalia; Primates; Cercopithecidae. The record is from RNAcentral.